UACGGAGGGUCCAAGCGUUAUCCGGAAUCAUUGGGUUUAAAGGGUCCGUAGGCGGCCCGAUAAGUCAGCGGUGAAAUCUCCCGGCUCAACCGGGAAAUGGCCAUUGAUACUGUCGGGCUUGAAUUAUUGGGAAGUAACUAGAAUAUGUAGUGUAGCGGUGAAAUGCUUAGAGAUUACAUGGAAUACCAAUUGCGAAGGCAGGUUACUAUCAAUAUAUUGACGCUGAUGGACGAAAGCGUGGGUAGCGAACAGG
This 253-nucleotide ribosomal RNA is filed under the name uncultured bacterium. Its description in RNAcentral is "partial 16S ribosomal RNA". It matches the Rfam family "Bacterial small subunit ribosomal RNA", at positions 524 to 776 of the family's 1533-position model. The record is from RNAcentral.